GAUGAAGAACGUAGCGAAAUGCGAUAAGUAAUGUGAAUUGCAGAAUUCAGUGAAUCAUCGAAUCUUUGAACGCACAUUGCGCCCAUUAGUAUUCUAGUGGGCAUGCCUGUUCGAGCGUCAUUAAGUCCACUUAAGCCUAGCUUAGUGUUGGGAGACUGCUCCAGUGGUGCUACCCUGUAGCUACCCUGCAGCUCCUUAAAGACAGCGGCGGAGUCGUGUUAUCCUCUGAGCUUAGUAAAUCAUUCUAGCUUUCGAGAGUAUCACUUCACCUGCCGUUAAACCACCUAAUUUUUAUGGUUGACCUCGGAUCAGGUAGGAAUACCCGCUGAACUUAAGCAUAUCAAUAAGCGGAGGA
RNAcentral lists this unclassified non-coding RNA (355 nucleotides) under soil metagenome. RNAcentral's name for it is "partial contains 5.8S ribosomal RNA, internal transcribed spacer 2, and large subunit ribosomal RNA". The stretch from base 1 to 120 matches the Rfam family "5.8S ribosomal RNA", at positions 35 to 154 of the family's 154-position model. The record is from RNAcentral.